GGCAUGGCGGCUGGCUUACCAUGCAGUCGAACGGCAGCGCGGGAGCUGUCCUGGGGGCCAGUGGCGAACGGGUGAGUAAUACAUCGGAACGUGGCCCUUCGUGCGGGAUAACGCGUCGAAAGCUGUGCUAAUACCGCAUACGAUCUACGGAUGAAAGCAGGGGAUCGCAAGACCUUGCUCGAAUGGAGCGGCCGAUGGCACAUUACGUAGUUGGGGAGGUAAAGGCUCACCAAGCCUUCUAUCUGUAGCUGGUCUGAGAGGACGACCACCCACCCUGGGACUGAGACACGGCCCACACUCCUACGGGAGGCAGCAGUGGGGAAUUUUGGACAAUGGGCGAAAGCCUGAGAUGCCAUGCCCCGUGCGAGAUGAAGGCCUUCGGGUUGUAAACUGCUUUUGUACGGAACAAAAAGUCUCUUUCUAAUAACCUGGAAUCAUGACGGUACCUAAAUAAUAGCCACCGGCUAACUACAUGCCUACAGCCCCGGUAAUACCUAGGGUGCAAGCGUUAAUCGAAAUUACUGGGCGUAAAGCGUGCCCGCGCGGUUAUGUCAAACCUCAGUGACAUCCCUGGGCUCAACACGGGAACAGCAUCGGGGACUGCAUAACUAUAGUACUGCAGAGGGGGAUGGAAAUCGCCGUGAUAUAGUGAAAUGCAUAGAUAUGCA
Molecule: ribosomal RNA, 668 nt
Filed under: Variovorax sp. 48AGV
Lineage: Bacteria; Pseudomonadati; Pseudomonadota; Betaproteobacteria; Burkholderiales; Comamonadaceae
Description: bacterial SSU rRNA
Rfam family: Bacterial small subunit ribosomal RNA
Source: RNAcentral